This 253-nucleotide ribosomal RNA is filed under the name uncultured bacterium. RNAcentral describes it as "partial 16S ribosomal RNA". It matches the Rfam family "Bacterial small subunit ribosomal RNA", at positions 524 to 776 of the family's 1533-position model. The record is from RNAcentral.
UGCGUAGGGUGCAAGCGUUGUCCGGAAUUAUUGGGCGUAAAGAGCUCGUAGGCGGUCUGUCGCGUCUGCUGUGAAAACUCGGGGCUUAACCCCGGGCCUGCAGUGGGUACGGGCAGACUAGAGUGCGGUAGGGGAGACUGGAAUUCCUGGUGUAGCGGUGAAAUGCGCAGAUAUCAGGAGGAACACCGGUGGCGAAGGCGCCACUCUGGGCCGAAACUGACGCUGAGGCGCGAAAGCGUGGGGAUCAAACAGG